RNAcentral lists this ribosomal RNA (529 nucleotides) under Salmonella enterica subsp. enterica serovar Muenchen. RNAcentral describes it as "bacterial SSU rRNA". It matches the Rfam family "Bacterial small subunit ribosomal RNA", at positions 993 to 1522 of the family's 1533-position model. RNAcentral also lists the same sequence under 3 other names. The record is from RNAcentral. Lineage: Bacteria; Pseudomonadati; Pseudomonadota; Gammaproteobacteria; Enterobacterales; Enterobacteriaceae.
GAAGAAUCCAGAGAUGGAUUUGUGCCUUCGGGAACUGUGAGACAGGUGCUGCAUGGCUGUCGUCAGCUCGUGUUGUGAAAUGUUGGGUUAAGUCCCGCAACGAGCGCAACCCUUAUCCUUUGUUGCCAGCGAUUAGGUCGGGAACUCAAAGGAGACUGCCAGUGAUAAACUGGAGGAAGGUGGGGAUGACGUCAAGUCAUCAUGGCCCUUACGACCAGGGCUACACACGUGCUACAAUGGCGCAUACAAAGAGAAGCGACCUCGCGAGAGCAAGCGGACCUCAUAAAGUGCGUCGUAGUCCGGAUUGGAGUCUGCAACUCGACUCCAUGAAGUCGGAAUCGCUAGUAAUCGUGGAUCAGAAUGCCACGGUGAAUACGUUCCCGGGCCUUGUACACACCGCCCGUCACACCAUGGGAGUGGGUUGCAAAAGAAGUAGGUAGCUUAACCUUCGGGAGGGCGCUUACCACUUUGUGAUUCAUGACUGGGGUGAAGUCGUAACAAGGUAACCGUAGGGGAACCUGCGGUUGGA